UCAUGAUAUCAACAUGUGCCCCUCGUGCAGAUCUUGGUGGUAGUAGCAAAUAUUCAAAUGAGAAAUUUGAAGAGUGAAGUGGGGAAAUGUUCCAUGUGAACAUCACUUGGACAUGGCCAGUUAUUCUAUCCUAAGAGAUGGGGAAUCCUUGUAUCAAGGGUGCACUCUACAUGAAUAUUGAAAGAGAAUUGGGUUAAUAUUCCCGAACCAGGACAUGGUGGUGGAUGAAAAUGUUAGGAAAUCCGGAGAUGUCAUCAAGGGCCUAGGAAAAGUUAUCUUUUCUUUUUAACGACUUUCCCACCCUGAAAUCGGUUCAACUGGAGAUACGGUCCAACAUCUGAAAGAGAACCACACGUCUUGCAGUGUUUGGUGCCCCCUCGACGGCCAUUGAAAAUAUUGAUAACCAAGUACCAUCCAUGCCCGAUUGUACUCAUAUCUGCCUCCUUGGAUUUUUCAAUGUCCACUAGGUUAGCGAUCUUGAUGAGAUAAUAUCUACCUUGGGCUACUU
Picea glauca (white spruce) is the source of this 508-nucleotide non-coding RNA. The record is from Rfam. Lineage: Eukaryota; Viridiplantae; Streptophyta; Pinopsida; Pinales; Pinaceae.